CCUGAGUACGACGGAGCACGUGAAAUUCCGUCGGAAUCUGGGAGGACCAUCUCCUAAGGCUAAAUACUCUCUAGUGACCGAUAGUGAACCAGUACCGUGAGGGAAAGGUGAAAAGCACCCCGGAAGGGGAGUGAAAUAGAACCUGAAACCGUGUGCUUACAAGUAGUCAGAGCCCGUUAAUGGGUGAUGGCGUGCCUUUUGUAGAAUGAACCGGCGAGUUACGAUUUGAUGCAAGGUUAAGCAGUAAAUGUGGAGCCGUAGCGAAAGCGAGUCUGAAUAGGGCGUUUAGUAUUUGGUCGUAGACCCGAAACCAGGUGAUCUACCCUUGGUCAGGUUGAAGUUCAGGUAACACUGAAUGGAGGACCGAACCGACUUACGUUGAAAAGUGAGCGGAUGAACUGAGGGUAGCGGAGAAAUUCCAAUCGAACCUGGAGAUAGCUGGUUCUCUCCGAAAUAGCUUUAGGGCUAGCCUCAAGUGAUGAUUAUUGGAGGUAGAGCACUGUUUGGACGAGGGGCCCCUCUCGGGUUACCGAAUUCAGACAAACUCCGAAUGCCAAUUAAUUUAACUUGGGAGUCAGAACAUGGGUGAUAAGGUCCGUGUUCGAAAGGGAAACAGCCCAGACCACCAGCUAAGGUCCCAAAAUAUAUGUUAAGUGGAAAAGGAUGUGGCGUUGCCCAGACAACUAGGAUGUUGGCUUAGAAGCAGCCAUCAUUUAAAGAGUGCGUAAUAGCUCACUAGUCGAGUGACACUGCGCCGAAAAUGUACCGGGGCUAAACAUAUUACCGAAGCUGUGGAUUGUCCUUUGGACAAUGGUAGGAGAGCGUUCUAAGGGCGUUGAAGCAUGAUCGUAAGGACAUGUGGAGCGCUUAGAAGUGAGAAUGCCGGUGUGAGUAGCGAAAGACGGGUGAGAAUCCCGUCCACCGAUUGACUAAGGUUUCCAGAGGAAGGCUCGUCCGCUCUGGGUUAGUCGGGUCCUAAGCUGAGGCCGACAGGCGUAGGCGAUGGAUAACAGGUUGAUAUUCCUGUACCACCUAUAAUCGUUUUAAUCGAUGGGGGGACGCAGUAGGAUAGGCGAAGCGUGCGAUUGGAUUGCACGUCUAAGCAGUAAGGCUGAGUAUUAGGCAAAUCCGGUACUCGUUAAGGCUGAGCUGUGAUGGGGAGAAGACAUUGUGUCUUCGAGUCGUUGAUUUCACACUGCCGAGAAAAGCCUCUAGAUAGAAAAUAGGUGCCCGUACCGCAAACCGACACAGGUAGUCAAGAUGAGAAUUCUAAGGUGAGCGAGCGAACUCUCGUUAAGGAACUCGGCAAAAUGACCCCGUAACUUCGGGAGAAGGGGUGCUCUUUAGGGUUAACGCCCAGAAGAGCCGCAGUGAAUAGGCCCAAGCGACUGUUUAUCAAAAACACAGGUCUCUGCUAAACCGUAAGGUGAUGUAUAGGGGCUGACGCCUGCCCGGUGCUGGAAGGUUAAGAGGAGUGGUUAGCUUCUGCGAAGCUACGAAUCGAAGCCCCAGUAAACGGCGGCCGUAACUAUAACGGUCCUAAGGUAGCGAAAUUCCUUGUCGGGUAAGUUCCGACCCGCACGAAAGGCGUAACGAUUUGGGCACUGUCUCAACGAGAGACUCGGUGAAAUCAUAGUACCUGUGAAGAUGCAGGUUACCCGCGACAGGACGGAAAGACCCCGUGGAGCUUUACUGUAGCCUGAUAUUGAAAUUCGGCACAGCUUGUACAGGAUAGGUAGGAGCCUUUGAAACGUGAGCGCUAGCUUACGUGGAGGCGCUGGUGGGAUACUACCCUAGCUGUGUUGGCUUUCUAACCCGCACCACUUAUCGUGGUGGGAGACAGUGUCAGGCGGGCAGUUUGACUGGGGCGGUCGCCUCCUAAAAGGUAACGGAGGCGCUCAAAGGUUCCCUCAGAAUGGUUGGAAAUCAUUCAUAGAGUGUAAAGGCAUAAGGGAGCUUGACUGCGAGACCUACAAGUCGAGCAGGGUCGAAAGACGGACUUAGUGAUCCGGUGGUUCCGCAUGGAAGGGCCAUCGCUCAACGGAUAAAAGCUACCCCGGGGAUAACAGGCUUAUCUCCCCCAAGAGUUCACAUCGACGGGGAGGUUUGGCACCUCGAUGUCGGCUCAUCGCAUCCUGGGGCUGUAGUCGGUCCCAAGGGUUGGGCUGUUCGCCCAUUAAAGCGGUACGCGAGCUGGGUUCAGAACGUCGUGAGACAGUUCGGUCCCUAUCCGUCGUGGGCGUAGGAAAUUUGAGAGGAGCUGUCCUUAGUACGAGAGGACCGGGAUGGACAUACCUCUGGUGUACCAGUUGUCGUGCCAACGGCAUAGCUGGGUAGCUAUGUGUGGACGGGAUAAGUGCUGAAAGCAUCUAAGCAUGAAGCCCCCCUCAAGAUGAGAUUUCCCAACUUCGGUUAUAAGAUCCCUCAAAGAUGAUGAGGUUAAUAGGUUCGAGGUGGAAGCAUGGUGACAUGUGGAGCUGACGAAUACUAAUCGAUCGAAGACUUAAUCAA
RNAcentral lists this ribosomal RNA (2511 nucleotides) under Staphylococcus aureus. RNAcentral describes it as "bacterial LSU rRNA". It matches the Rfam family "Bacterial large subunit ribosomal RNA", at positions 407 to 2925 of the family's 2925-position model. The record is from RNAcentral. Lineage: Bacteria; Bacillati; Bacillota; Bacilli; Caryophanales; Staphylococcaceae.